GUCCAUUUCCCAAACACACCUGGUCAAGGGCACCCUCCUGUUCUAAUCCCCCCACCCCCAGAACCCUCUUUCACUGAAGGAUAACAAUUCUUCCAGGACCAGGGUACCCACAAAGCAUGAUUCUCCUGCAAAUCACCUCUAUAUUCCAGGCACAUCAGACUACUCCCUGCUCCUCAGUGAUAUUGUGGACUUUGAUGCUUUCAUUUGCAUUACAUGAAUUUCUUCUGCUUCUCUCUCAACCACAUACACUAGCCCCGAUUUCCAACUACCAGUAACUAUCUGGAGUCACUCCAAUUUCACCCACCCUCAAGGCUUCCUCCAAUCCACCUGACGAUAUAUCAUGUGGUUCUCCCUCUCUUUUCCCCUUUCCCCUUGAAAAGAGGAAGACCCAUCAUAAUAGAACCUCUCAUAUUUUUCUGUCUCCUGGUGCUAAUGCAGAGCCCUCUGCAUAAAAGCUAAACACUCAAUGUUUUUUAAUUUAAAAAUAGUCACUAUGCUCACAGUGUAUUACUUGUAACUUUUAAAAUAUAACUCUGAAAGACACGUGUAAGAACAGUGUUUAAAAAAUUAUAAUCACUACAAAAUGACU
Molecule: long non-coding RNA, 589 nt
Filed under: Bos taurus (domestic cattle)
Lineage: Eukaryota; Metazoa; Chordata; Mammalia; Artiodactyla; Bovidae
Description: long non-coding RNA NONBTAT022707
Source: RNAcentral